RNAcentral lists this ribosomal RNA (325 nucleotides) under uncultured bacterium. RNAcentral's name for it is "bacterial SSU rRNA". It matches the Rfam family "Bacterial small subunit ribosomal RNA", at positions 373 to 710 of the family's 1533-position model. The record is from RNAcentral.
GGGCGCAAGCCUGGUGCAGCGACGCCGCGUGAGGGAUGGAGGCCUUCGGGUUGUAAACCUCUUUUAUCGGGGAGCAAGCGUGAGUGAGUUUACCCGUUGAAUAAGCACCGGCUAACUACGUGCCAGCAGCCGCGGUAAUACGUAGGGUGCAAGCGUUAUCCGGAAUUAUUGGGCGUAAAGGGCUCGUAGGCGGUUCGUCGCGUCCGGUGUGAAAGUCCAUCGCUUAACGGUGGAUCCGCGCCGGGUACGGGCGGGCUUGAGUGCGGUAGGGGAGACUGGAAUUCCCGGUGUAACGGUGGAAUGUGUAGAUAUCGGGAAGAACACC